GUGGGGAAUGAAGACAUGGAACGAGGUGGCGAGACCAUCGCAGAAUAACAACUUGGAAGAUGCCGCUGUUGAAUCGAUCAGGCAUAUUAUUAAAAGUAGCAGGUGUGCCCGCUGCUACGGAUUAACAAAAUCACAAGCUAUUUAUUUUUAUUUUUUGUGUAGGCAACUCAUGGCGUCGUUGAGGUCGGCAUGCGGUGUGGUGACGUCGGUUGUAAGACGGAGUAGGAGAAAUCGUGAAAAAAAAAAUUGGACUAAAAAAAAUAACGAGCAGUGGCAUAUUGAUUGUAAUUUUAACGAAAUUAACCUACAGCGGCGACCGUACCAUCACCACCAACUCCAAUUUAAUAUAUUGGUAUAGACUCGAGUCGUCCAACACUACAACCAACCUUAAUGUGUACUGUAGACGAGAGGCCUAAAAAAAUCGGCUCAUCGACCUUAAAAAACAGUAUACUUUAAAGAAAUACUGGUCGUUUGGCAGGCCUCUAUUUCAUUUCAUUUUUUUCAUUAAAAACGUAU
This 516-nucleotide long non-coding RNA is filed under the name Brachypodium distachyon (stiff brome). Its description in RNAcentral is "long non-coding RNA (BDIS_LNC003793)". Lineage: Eukaryota; Viridiplantae; Streptophyta; Magnoliopsida; Poales; Poaceae. The record is from RNAcentral.